This 138-nucleotide ribosomal RNA is filed under the name uncultured eukaryote. Its description in RNAcentral is "partial 18S ribosomal RNA". It matches the Rfam family "Eukaryotic small subunit ribosomal RNA", at positions 1299 to 1458 of the family's 1831-position model. The record is from RNAcentral.
UGGUGGAGCGAUUUGUCUGGUUAAUUCCGAUAACGAACGAGACUCUAGCCUAUUAAAUAGUUCGCCGAUGCCCAAGCGUCGGCGGCAACUUCUUAGAGGGACAGGUGUCGUAUAGGCACACGAGAUUGAGCAAUAACA